AUGACGCUGGCGGUAGGCUUACACUGCGGUUAAUGCGAGAAAGUAUCUUCGGACAUGAGUAGAGCGGCGGACGGGUGAGUAACGCGUAGGAAUCUACCUAGUAGAAGGGGAUAGCCCGGGGAAACUCGGAUUAAUACCGUAUACCUCCUUUGGGAGAAAGAAGGCCUCUCUUUGAAGCUUUCGCUAUUAGAUGAGCCUGCGUAAGAUUAGCUUGUUGGUGAGGUAAAGGCUCACCAAGGCGACGAUCUUUAGCGGGUCUGAGAGGACGAUCCGCCACAUUGGGACUGAGACACGGCCCACGACUCCUACGGGAGGCAGCAGUGGCGGAAUAUUGGACAACUGGGCGCCAGCCAGCAUCCAGCCAUACCGCGCUGUGUGACGCAAGCGCCCUACGGUUGUACACGCACUUU
Molecule: ribosomal RNA, 410 nt
Filed under: uncultured Gammaproteobacteria bacterium
Lineage: Bacteria; Pseudomonadati; Pseudomonadota; Gammaproteobacteria
Description: bacterial SSU rRNA
Rfam family: Bacterial small subunit ribosomal RNA
Source: RNAcentral